UACAGAGGUCCCGAGCGUUGUUCGGAUUCACUGGGCGUAAAGGGUGCGUAGGUGGCAGGGUAAGUUUGAUGUGAAAUCUCCGGGCUUAACCCGGAAACUGCAUUGAAUACUAUCCUGCUCGAGGGUUGGAGGGGGGACUGGAAUUCUCGGUGUAGCAGUGAAAUGCGUAGAUAUCGAGAGGAACACCAGUGGCGAAGGCGAGUCCCUGGACAACUCCUGACACUGAGGCACGAAAGCUAGGGGAGCAAACAGG
Molecule: ribosomal RNA, 253 nt
Filed under: uncultured bacterium
Lineage: Bacteria
Description: partial 16S ribosomal RNA
Rfam family: Bacterial small subunit ribosomal RNA
Source: RNAcentral